RNAcentral lists this ribosomal RNA (254 nucleotides) under uncultured bacterium. RNAcentral's name for it is "partial 16S ribosomal RNA". It matches the Rfam family "Bacterial small subunit ribosomal RNA", at positions 524 to 776 of the family's 1533-position model. The record is from RNAcentral.
UACGUAGGGUCCGAGCGUUGUCCGGAAUUAUUGGGCGUAAAGAGCUCGUAGGCGGUUUGUCGCGUCUGCUGUGAAAUCUGGAGGCUCAACCUCCAGCCUGCAGUGGGUACGGGCAGACUAGAGUGCGGUAGGGGAGAAUGGAAUUCCUGGUGUAGCGGUGGAAAUGCGCAGAUAUCAGGAGGAACACCGAUGGCGAAGGCAGCUCGCUGGGACGGUACUGACGCUGAGGCGCGAAAGCGUGGGGAGCAAACAGG